AACAAUUCAAAGAUCAUUUCAGUGAUUAAUUUAAUUGGAAAAGUAAUUAAAAUUCCUCUUUUCCUUUUCGGGCCGAAACAGGAAAAGUCCUCUCUCUUUCUUGGCCCAAUCUCCUCUCAGCCUGCAGCCCUCUCCCUCCCUCUGUCGAAGUCUGCUUUGUGUCCCUCUUUCAAUCGGGCCAAGAAGUAGAAGCCCAGCCGAAAAGUCUAAUUUUCGUCCUUUGCACUGUUCAUCUUCAACCUCUGGACAGCCGAACUGAGACCGAGUGGGCUAGGUUUUUCCCAUCCAAAUCCGGCCUUAUCUCUCGUGUAUUCCGAAAAUUAGUUGAGGGGAAAUAUUUCCUUUAUCUUCCUCUCUCGUUUUCCUUAAGAAUCGGAACCUAAUUCCUUGUAUUUUAUCCGAGUCAAACUCGUUUUUGAGUUUACCUCUCCAAACUAACCCUCGGAUUUUCCGGUUAAAAUCCUCUCGUUUUGAGUUCGAUCUCUCUCACCCGUGCCUAUAUAAAGCAUCCCUAAGUCGUCCUCUUCCGUUUGCCUCAAGUUCCGAGCUCUACCGUUGCCCGUAGCGCCGCCACCGCGUAGCCCUAGCCGCCGCCUUCGUUGUCGUCGUUCCAACCGCGUCGCGCUGGGGUUGUGGUCGCCGUCGCCGCUUACCGUCGUCGCCGUCGGGUUCGCGCGGUGGAGGAGCACCUCGGCCGCCCCUUUUCAGCCGCCGAAGACCGUCGGAGCGCCGUCGCCGAGGUUGACCCGAGCCAAGCCGCCGUUGGAGUUCGUCGCCGGCCUUCGUUCGUCGUCGUCCGUCGUUGUUUUUCGCACCGUUUCUAACGUUCCGGAGGAGAGCGUUUACGUUGAGGAAGGUUCAGAAGCGUUUGAGGAAGCUCAAGGCAAGUCACACAGAUCCCAAACAACUCUUUGAGCAUGUUGAACCCGUUUAAAGCUAAUGUUUUAUUUUAACUUAUGCAUUAUUUUCGAAUGUUAUCGGGUGGUGAGCCUUUCCCAUUUAAUUAUGGCCAACAAUGACUUUAUUUUCCUAUGAGUAAUAAAUUGAUUAGCUUGAACCUUAUAUAUUGGUUUGGUUCACCUAAAUGCUAUAUAUAUAAUUGCUUAGCCAUGCUUAGAAACAUUAGCUUAUUUAUGGGAUGAAUCAUAUUACAUUAUUACUUAUGGUUAAUGGUAGCUCACGAUGGUUAAUCGUGUUAUGAUAAUUAAUUGAUAAAUAAAACCUGAUUAAUGGUGGGUUGUGAGCAUGUGAUUUUGAUGGUCGUGCUCAUGGCAAUUAAAGGACCAGUUCGUGAGCUACUGUUGUGAAACAUUAACCGUACCAACCACAAGCCAGCGUGGACAAUGGCUUUACCUUUUGUAUAGCAUGAUUCAUUGCGGGGUGCCAGACUGAGAAGCAGCGAGAAGUUCGUGGGGGUCGCUGGGGAGUCCAUGCCUACCUCUUUAGAAGAGCAAAAAAUUAACUCCGAACCUAAGAGGGGCAUUCGGAUAAUUACCAAACGUAAAUGUCGUAGGCUCUCCGGACCUUCCAUUAUAAUUGAGAGAUGAAAUAAAUAAUUCAAGUCAACAACAAGCAUAAUGAAAUAUCUGACGCCUCGAGAGAGGAAUAUUGGAGAUAUUGCUGGGCCUAUAGCCUGCCAGUCAACUUUAGCCUGAGAUGUGCCCGUCAAACCACUCGAAGGCGGCGACCAGUUGUGUUACACAUUCAGGAGACUUGACAAAAAUGGCUAAAGAUCUACAACAUCUCAAAUAUUCUUAACUCAUACUCAUGUGAAUCUAGUUCCCAGGAUGUACACUAGAUUCACACUUUCAUCUCAAGCAUGGAAAUACAUAGAAAAAUACACUUAAGACGAAAGUGAUUCUAAAUUACAACUACUUCAUAGUUACAUAGGCCGACCAGCCAAAUAAAUAUAUAGAAUAGCGGAAGCUUGACUACCCAAUCCUCAAGCACACCGACUAGGGAUUUACCCCAUUAAGUUCAAGUCCUAGAAGAAGCAGUCGAUUACCCGCAUCACUCAAAGACUAAAUCUAAAAUAUGCAAGCAAAAGGUUAAUUCAACAGCAAGAGUCAGUACAUUAUUAGAAAUAAUGUACUACCAGCAUCACUAAAAAACUAAAUCUAAAACAUGCAAGCAAAAGAUUAAUUUAAUAGCAAGAGUCAGUACAUUAUUAAAAAUAAUGUACUGGCAAGCACCAACACAAGCCUAACACCCUAUUUGCAAGACAUAUAAUCAAGGAAGGCAUAAUAUGUCUCUUUUUAUCAUAAAGCAAGUUUUAUUUGCAUAAAACACAUUCAAAUCAGAUUUUGCUUUCAAAUAAAUUUCAGCAAGCUAGUACUUAGCAUAUGGGCACAUUAAUCAUGUAUAAGUAUGCAGCUCAUUGCUAUCCAUGGCAGCAAGGAGAUCAUUCUCAAAUCUCAUCACAUUUUGAAGUUAAAUUUCAGCAUUUAGAAGAAUAAACAUAAGUCUGCAGAGUUUGUACACUUUCCCCACAAGAUGCGAAAUAAUAAUCAUGCAAGAGCAUGGCACGUGAUACAUAAGUACCCGAUUUAUUACCCGCAACAAAGCUGUUCCAAAAUUCAUGAUUUAGCCUUACACCAGCACGAUACGCGAUACAUAAGUACCCGAUUUAUUACCCGCAACAAAGCUGUUCCAAAAUUCAUGAUUUAGCCUUACACCAGCACGAUACGUGUUACUCCAUCUUAAGCCAUACACGUUAUAUGACCUAGAACCGUUAAGUGGCGGGCCCACGCCUUAAACUUAACGCCGUGGUGGCGGACACAACGGCAACCCACCACGAGGCACAAUACUGUUGUAUCACGUCGGGGUAAAUAGGAAGCUCUUCUGAAUUAUACGAACUCAUAUACACCGGCCUACCAGAAUGUAAGGCUAAAUCAUAAAUAAUUUUCUAAGCUUGGGCUAUCCCGUACUAGCACAUGUGGAUGUGGUUGCACUGUAUACGAAAUGAACUGACAUUGAGUGAAGUCCUUAGGUCGGUUUGGACGCACUCUACCCCUAUCGGUACACAACAAAUCACCAUAUGUGCACCACUUGAGGCCCAAACCUAAAAUCCAUAUUUUGCUCCAUUUUAUUUAUCAAAAUCAUAAGUAUUCAAGUUCUGUCUAGAUUAUUUCAGAAACAAUUUUCAUGUUUGUAAUGAGCCCAUAAUGACAAGGAACACCAUUCUAAGCAUGGCUAAGCAUUAUUGUAACCUAGUGACAUCAAAACUCGUAUAUAUAAAGUGGUAUAUGUCAGGGUUAUGGAUACCACAUACCUAAUAGUAGUUGACUAAAUCUCGGUAGGACCCACCACAUACCAUGUCUUAUAUGGAAACAACCUUCGGAUAUAGGAAGAGUUCCGCGUAAGGAAGGAUGAAUAGAGUUCUACAUGGAAACGACAAGGACUACUCGGAUUGUAUCCAUAUUAGUUUCCCUAGUUCUACUUGGACAAGGAGACACCUAUGGGUAUAAAUACAAGGCCCCCUAGGAGGAGAGAGGACACGGAGCAAUAGAUCAACAUACAAGCCAACAUACGCCAAGACAUGCCGCCGGAUAUCGACUUUAGAGAUAAGCAUGGCUAGUCCCCUACGGUGUCUACAGAUGCUGUCAGGAGAGACAUAGCGCUGUCUUUGAUCUCGCCGGGCACGGAUUCGAGGAGGAAGACUACUCUGUUAUCGACUACGGGAUGGUUUUAUGGCUGUCAAGUCGGCAACAGUUAGAUAGGCUACCCCAAAUAUUGUACUGGUGUGAUCAUGGUGAAUAAGAGCAACGACUGGCUUCGACCGACAAGAGUAGGGUUAUUACCUAACAAUUCAGGGGCCUGAAUCUGUAUAAAAAUCCUCAUCCCCAUUUCUUUUAUUACAAUUUCGCAUAUAUCCUAGUACCAACGAUCCCUAUACUAUGCAAAUACCGGAAUCACGACAUCAAAUACCGGAAUCGCGACAUCAAACGUCGACAGUAUAGUCAUAUUGUUCCUAAGUUUAGGAAUGAUGGAUAUGGAUAUAUGUGGGGUUAAGGUGAUAAUGCAAAUAAUAGGAGUUUGUCUAACAAGUUUAACAAAAUUUUAAUUUAUUACUGUACAAUUGACAUGCAAGAUUUGCAAACAUUUUCAAUAACCUCCAAAACAUAGGUUCAAAGUGAUUAAAGAGAGGGAGGUGGGACUUGCCUUGCAACUGGAAAAUGUCAGCACCUAAAUCACUUCUUCACCGUCUAAGCAAUCAUCUAUACAAAGUACAUGUUAUGCAAUUAAACACCGAAAUAUGCGAAAAAUCCAAAAUGCUUUAAAAUGCAUGAUUUGUGCACAGUGGAUAGGUAUUGGUCUAAGAUGAAUUUAGGUGAAAGAAUUUCUAUUUUAUCUCUUUUUAUUUGGGAGUUAUGAAUUUUAGAAAUUUGCGUGGUAUAAUAUAGGAUUUACUUAGGUACUAUUAUGAAAUGCUAUUGUAAGGUGAUUCUUAUUAAGUUUAUAUUUGCUGGGGUGAAGAUAUGUGUUUUCUAGGACUAACAUAUUUGGUUUCAUAAUUUUUAGAGUUAAUAUGAAUUCUUUAUGUAUUUUACAAGUUAUAACAUGUUAUAGGUGUAUAGUGUUAUAUAGGUUCAUGGCUUUAGAGGUUUAGGUCCAGAACUUGCCUCAUCUAGCCAGUGAUGUAUAAAAUGAGUAUUUUAGUUAACUAAUCUAAUCUUAGUUCAUAAUUUUAGAGUUUAUAUUAUUUUACUACACAUUUUAUAAAUAGGGAUGGUCUAUGUUAGUUACUUAACAUACCAACCUAGAAAUUGUUAUAUGAGUUAAGUUUGCUAAGUCUUUGGGAAUUAAGGCUGGAACUAUGACCUCUCUGGUCUAACAAGUUUUAUUUUGGUUUAUUCAUAGCUAGAGUGCAUUUUAAAUACCUUUACACAUAUAUUUUGCUUAAUCAUUACUAGGUGAUUAACUCCUAGGUUAUCUAUUUAAAGAUUAGAGCUAUAAUCUGUACAGAAGGUGUCAUAUUUUAUUUUACUAUGAUGAAGCUCACUGUUUGCUGGUUCUAUAGAAACUUGGUUCAUUCCAUUUGAAAUAAAAAUGAAUUUCUACAAAUUUUAGAAUUUAAAGGCUGCUCUAUGUUGGUUAUUACUUACAUAAUUUUUUAUAGGCUUUUAUCAUAUAGUAAGUAUAUAAUUUUAUUUUAUAACUUGGAAUUAUAUGUUUUGGUGAUUCUACAGAACUUGUGUUUACUCAAAAAGGACCUAAGAUGAAUUUUAUAUCAAUUUCUAAAUUUCAGCUUAACUUGGAAGUAAUAGUUUUAGAGGCAUUUGAUGUAAAUUGUGUAUAUGUUUUAUUUUACUUUGAUUUUAGAGAACAUGUUGGUGGAUCUGUUGAAGCUAAGUUUGCUCUAAAAUGAGUUGUAAUGAGUUUUCUAUGCAUUUUAUAAUCCUGUGCAUAUUUUAUGUCUGAUUUUUCUUAGAUGAAUUUUAGAGAUAGAUUUUUGUACUUUAUGUGUCACUUCUUAUUUUAUAACAUUAUAGUGCUAAAUUUUGUGAAUCUAUAGAAAUUGGUUUCACCUAAAAAGAGUUUAGAUGAAUUAGUUAGGAGUAUGCAAUUUUGAAGUUUAAAGUAGAUUUGAACAAUUCAGCACAUGUUGAAUAGCUGUUUUCAUUAAGAGUCCUUCCUGUUUUCAAUAAAUAUGAGUAGGUCCUGCAACAGUGCUGUGUGUCCUGUGCUUUUGCAGAAAGGACCCUACAUUAAAUUAAAUUCUUGUAAGGAGGUCCCUGGUUCGAGCUGAAGCAGGACAAGCUAUGGCCGAGCUCGAUCUCAAGCUCGCCGGCGGCAAACGGAGGCUCGGAUGGUGUCGGAAUAAAAAUAAAAAGUGUGUCCCACGUCAAUGCAAUCCUAGAGAAGGUGAAUAUGCUGUAAAUGGUCAACCAUAGCGCCCGUAUGUUGCAGAAUAGUGGAGAAGGUUUUCAGAUGGCUUUGCAUGUUGCGGUGGAACUUGAUUUUGGGCUAAAGGAAUGCAUGCAUUCGAUCUUUGGGAGGUUUAGGGUGCUCACCGGUCAGAAGCACGGUGUUGGCGAGGCUUGGACGGCAGCAGCAGCUCGCGGAACGGCUUGAAGGCGGAGGAUGAUGUCGGCUUCACGGUGACAGCACGGUCCGGUAGAUGGAGAGCUAAGAGAAGGUGUACAGGUGGUUAGAGAGGUCUCAAGGAUGGUGUAUAUGUGAGGAAUCGACACGAGGCUCACCAGAGCAGCGGGAAUUGAAGAUUGACGCCGGCGGCCGGAGUUGAAGAAGAAAGGCUCGAUCUCUUUAACGACGGUGCCUCAGCUCGUUUCCUUCGGUGGUCUUGCUCCUAGGGUCUUGGUGACAAUCAUGGCGCAGUGGCUUAGUCUGAGAUGGCCUGGGUCGACGGGAACGGCGACGCGAACCCGCGGCUGCGCACUGGACACCGGGAGCGACGACGAGCUCGACGCAGGUGUUCGAUCCAUGGAAAAUGAAGAAUAUUGAAUAUGAAAAUAUUAGGUAUGGUGUGUAGAUUACGUUGCCAUGGUUGAAAUGCAGCGAAGCUCACCAGAGAAAUCAAGCAAUGGAUUAAACAUCUUCGGUUGAAAGGAUUGAGGAGGAUGUUCUUGGCUCUACAAUAAAGUUCUUGGUCUAAUUCUUAGUGAAACAUGAUGAGGAAGAAGAGUUGAGUUUGCUGGUGAAAUGGUUGACCAAAUAGUGAUUGUUGUGCUGGCAAGGGAGAGAUAGGUGGCAUGAUAUGGCAUGGACACGAUUUUUAUGAGUUAGAAACUAAUGAGGCUAUGUCCUAACUUGUACUCCAUCCAUGUUUAGCAAGAGAGGCUGCCUAGUGGCCUCAUGUAGAUGUUUCCAGAAGAUUGAAGAGGUAUGGUGAAGUUUUGGGUGUAAUUUGGACAUAACUCUCUCUCUCUCUCUUUCUUUUUUUUUUUAAGUAGAAUUUAGGAUCAAAGAGGUGAUUCGCCAAGGGUGUAUGGCUGAUGAGUGAAUGUCAAGUGGGUCCAUGUAGAUACAUUCUAGGUGAAUGAGAGAGGUAGAGUAGUAGCUUAGGUGUGAUUUGUAUUUUAUCUCCAUCUCUCUCACCUUUAGAAAAAUGAAAAAAAAAUUAAAUAAGAGAGGUGUAGAUGAUGUGUGGCUGUGGUUGUUUGAUGAGUGGGCUCCACAAGGACUUGGUCCCAUAAGUAAGAUAGUGUUGGCACUAUUACA
Oryza sativa Japonica Group (Japanese rice) is the source of this 7182-nucleotide long non-coding RNA. RefSeq lists it as uncharacterized. NCBI's taxonomy places the organism in Eukaryota, Viridiplantae, Streptophyta, Magnoliopsida, Poales, Poaceae. The record is from RefSeq and is a predicted model, not a curated record.